Long non-coding RNA from Haliotis rubra (blacklip abalone), 399 nucleotides. RefSeq lists it as uncharacterized. The record is from RefSeq and is a predicted model, not a curated record. The transcript has 2 exons. NCBI's taxonomy places the organism in Eukaryota, Metazoa, Mollusca, Gastropoda, Lepetellida, Haliotidae.
AAUAAAGGUGUGGACUUGGCUGACGUUAAUGAUUCAACGUUCCUGGAAAAUGAAGGCUGUGCUGGGACUUUUAGUGGCUUUAGUUCUGUGUGGAGUUAUUCACGGAUCGGCAAUCCGUGCGUCCACGUGCGAGGGUCUGGGUGGCUACUGCUCUGAUGCAACAAGGACUCUGUGCCGGUUUUUUGGCCCCGUAGGGUCAUGCGACGGGAACCUGAUGGUGUGCUGCCUGAACCACCCAAUUGACGUCGUCGGGCCCCUUGGAAAGUGAAGACCGUGACACGUUUCCCCUAGCAACGUUACAACGCAAAGGCUGAUUCUGUGUGAACAUCAGUGUUUCUCGAAAAUAUAUGUACCAGGGGUAUUAAACUAAGUGCCUGUUUGAAAACAGGGCAAUAUUAA